CACGCCCUGGAAUGUUUGCAAACCGACAAGUCCUUGAGCCGAUUUCCACAAAAUUGGUGGUAUCUCGUUGUGUUUGGUGUGCAUGUCCGCCUGACGGAAAGCCUUAAAAACCACAGGUGCUACCUCCUUGAACCUAUGGGUUCAAGGCCAGCUUGGUAGCGGCAUUUCGGGGUCUCU
Cellvibrio sp. BR is the source of this 177-nucleotide non-coding RNA. NCBI's taxonomy places the organism in Bacteria, Pseudomonadati, Pseudomonadota, Gammaproteobacteria, Cellvibrionales, Cellvibrionaceae. The record is from Rfam.